GAUGAACGCUGGCGGCGUGCUUAACACAUGCAAGUCGAACGGAAAGGCUCCUGCUUGCAGGGGUACUCGAGUGGCGAACGGGUGAGUAACACGUGGGUGAUCUGCCCUGCACUUCGGGAUAAGCCUGGGAAACUGGGUCUAAUACCGGAUAGGACGAUGGUUUGGAUGCCAUUGUGUAAAGUUUUUUCGGUGUGGGAUGAGCUCGCGGCCUAUCUGCUUGUUGGUGGGGUAAUGGCCUACCAAGGCGUCGACGGGUAGCCGGCCUGAGAGGGUGUACGGCCACAUUGGGACUGAGAUACGGCCCAGACUCCUACGGGAGGCAGCAGUGGGGAAUAUUGCACAAUGGGCGCAAGCCUGAUGCAGCGACGCCGCGUGGGGGAUGACGGCCUUCGGGUUGUAAACUCCUUUCGCUAGGGACGAAGCGCAAGUGACGGUACCUGGAGAAGAAGCACCGGCUAACUACGU
RNAcentral lists this ribosomal RNA (465 nucleotides) under uncultured bacterium. Its description in RNAcentral is "partial 16S ribosomal RNA". It matches the Rfam family "Bacterial small subunit ribosomal RNA", at positions 28 to 506 of the family's 1533-position model. The record is from RNAcentral.